Molecule: ribosomal RNA, 478 nt
Filed under: Pseudoalteromonas sp. BACT-X
Lineage: Bacteria; Pseudomonadati; Pseudomonadota; Gammaproteobacteria; Alteromonadales; Pseudoalteromonadaceae
Description: bacterial SSU rRNA
Rfam family: Bacterial small subunit ribosomal RNA
Source: RNAcentral
AACGACUGCUAAUACCGCAUGAUGUCUACGGACCAAAGUGGGGGACCUUCGGGCCUCACGCCAUAAGAUUAGCCCAAGUGGGAUUAGCUAGUUGGUGAGGUAAUGGCUCACCAAGGCGACGAUCCCUAGCUGGUUUGAGAGGAUGAUCAGCCACACUGGGACUGAGACACGGCCCAGACUCCUACGGGAGGCAGCAGUGGGGAAUAUUGCACAAUGGGCGCAAGCCUGAUGCAGCCAUGCCGCGUGUGUGAAGAAGGCCUUCGGGUUGUAAAGCACUUUCAGUAAGGAGGAAAGGUUAAGUGUUAAUAGCACUUAGCUGUGACGUUACUUACAGAAGAAGCACCGGCUAACUCCGUGCCAGCAGCCGCGGUAAUACGGAGGGUGCGAGCGUUAAUCGGAAUUACUGGGCGUAAAGCGUACGCAGGCGGUUUGUUAAGCGAGAUGUGAAAGCCCCGGGCUCAACCUGGGAACUGCAUUG